GACGAACGCUGGCGGCGUGCCUAAUACAUGCAAGUAGAACGCUGAAGGAGGAGCUUGCUCUUCUGGAUGAGUUGCGAACGGGUGAGUAACGCGUAGGUAACCUGCCUGGUAGCGGGGGAUAACUAUUGGAAACGAUAGCUAAUACCGCAUAACAGUAGAUGUUGCAUGACAUUUGCUUAAAAGGUGCAAUUGCACCACUACCAGAUGGACCUGCGUUGUAUUAGCUAGUUGGUGGGGUAACGGCUCACCAAGGCGACGAUACAUAGCCGACCUGAGAGGGUGAGCGGCCACACUGGGACUGAGACACGGCCCAGACUCCUACGGGAGGCAGCAGUAGGGAAUCUUCGGCAAUGGACGGAAGGCUGACCGAGCAACGCCGCGUGAGUGAAGAAGGUUGUCGGAUCGUAAAGCUCUGUUGUAAGAGAAGAACGAGUGUGAGAGUGGAAAGUUCACACUGUGACGGUAUCGUACCAGAAAGGGACGGCUAACUACGUG
Molecule: ribosomal RNA, 495 nt
Filed under: uncultured bacterium
Lineage: Bacteria
Description: partial 16S ribosomal RNA
Rfam family: Bacterial small subunit ribosomal RNA
Source: RNAcentral